This is a non-coding RNA of Paramuricea clavata, 1670 nucleotides long. The record is from the annotation of a GenBank genome assembly. NCBI's taxonomy places the organism in Eukaryota, Metazoa, Cnidaria, Anthozoa, Malacalcyonacea, Plexauridae.
GUUCGAUGUUUUGAGAGCAAAUAUUCAAAGAGGAAAGGAUUUUUAUUCAAAUUUUCUACUUAUAAAGUUCCAAAGACCUAAUAAAAUACAUGGAAUUUGUUUUCAAAGGUAUGUCUAUUGUGUAUUUACUCAUUUGUAUGCGGAUAGUUACUUGAUAUACUGUAUAGUUAUGUUUUUAAAUCGAAGGCUUGUAUUUGUAUUAAUACUUUUUUACCGAAGGCAUCCAAACGUUCAGUUGUAAAUUUUCGAUUAAUUUCUAUUAGCAGAAGUGUAUAAAUCUAAUCUACACUCUACUUAUCUGUGUUUUAAGAAAAUCGUAUAGCUUAUUUGUGUGAUAUACGUGUAUGCUGUAUUUCCUGUGAAAUAUUUAACCGUUUAUAGUUGGCGUGCAUUGUAUACUUACAAUUAAUCACAUAAAUACAAUGUGAUUUGUUUGAAGUCAAAUUAAUAGCAUAUAGAUAGCAUUGUAAUAGCCCAUCUCCCAAUAUUACCCUAUGUAUGGCAUGUGCUUGCUAUGGUAUUAAACCCUCCUAUCGGUCACCCUAAAACAUGUGUGAAGAGCUGCUUAUAUGGUCAAGAAAGCCAGCCCAGGUAGCCCGGCUAUACUGUAGCUUGCUUUCCCUGGAUGAAUGUCUGUUUACAUGAGCCUCUUUAGAUGGGCAGGCUCACCAAAUCGAAUCAACCAGACUGAGUUUUAUAAUAGAAGCACAUCUUCCAAUACUGUAACCAACAUCACACUUUUGCAGACAGUUUCGAAAUGUAACUGAUAAAAACAAUUACCGAGAUAUUUUAACUCUUUAAGUGGCAAUGUGCCCUACUUUAUUAUUUUACUUUGCCUAACAUCACACAAUUUUACUUGUCAGGAGGAGAAUCUGCCCCUCAAUGGGUUAAUCAGAUUAUCUGCCCUUAAAUUAAAGAUGCCCAGAUUUUUGCGGCAAGGCAAGUUGCCCAAUCGGGCAAGCAAGAUAAAACGUUUACUUGCCCAUCAUGAAUUUCACUUGUCUCGGGCAAUUCGUGGGCAAGUGUUAAGUUACACCUCUGCUUGCUUUGUACACUAGAAAACAACCAAAAAUAGCAAAUUCAUUGUCACUCAGUAAUUUGCUUCUGUUAUAUAUCAACCUUAUAUAUUUUUUCUUAAUAGUGGUUGUAUUUAAUAUGGAUUCAUUAUAUUCUGUGAUGCUGAAUGAAACGUUAUCGAAGCAUCCCAGGAGAAGGCAAGUCAUCUAAACAAGUGGCAAUAUAUAUAAUCAUUAAUGGCAUUCUAAAUACUUCAUGGUCUAUUUGGAAAAUGUUAUUCUUUUGCUGGAGAGCAUGUUUACGGAUUACCAAACCAUGCAAGGAAAGGACUAGGAGGUGCCGACUGGUGGUAUAGUACAGGUUGUUUUGUACUAAAAUUUAACUAAUGGACUUGCACGACAUUAGACAUAUAUAUAUGCUUGAUUGAGCACUGACACUACUUGCAGUGUAUGUUACUUGUAGUUCAAGAUUGAACAGAAUGUUUAACCCUUUAAGUGGCAAUCUGCUCUACUUUAUUAUUUUAUUAUUUUGUGUCCCAUGCAAGGUAUGCUGCCACUCGAUGGUUAAAGUCUUUCUGUAGAUGGACAUUUUGAACAAUAACUAUAUAAUUAAUAGCUAUUGUGCCGGGAAUGAAACCCCUGUCAUUCGGAUCA